This 424-nucleotide ribosomal RNA is filed under the name Fusobacteriota bacterium. Its description in RNAcentral is "Fusobacteria bacterium partial 16S ribosomal RNA". It matches the Rfam family "Bacterial small subunit ribosomal RNA", at positions 355 to 776 of the family's 1533-position model. Lineage: Bacteria; Fusobacteriati; Fusobacteriota. The record is from RNAcentral.
UGAGGAAUAUUGGUCAAUGGGCGAGAGCCUGAACCAGCCAAGUAGCGUGCAGGAUGACGGUCCUAUGGGUUGUAAACUGCUUUUAUGUGGGGAUAAAGUGCGUGACGUGUCAUGCAUUGCAGGUACCACAUGAAUAAGGACCGGCUAAUUCCGUGCCAGCAGCCGCGGUAAUACGGAAGGUCCGGGCGUUAUCCGGAUUUAUUGGGUUUAAAGGGAGCGUAGGCUGUCUAUUAAGCGUGUUGUGAAAUUUACCGGCUCAACCGGUGGCUUGCAGCGCGAACUGGUCGACUUGAGUAUGCAGGAAGUAGGCGGAAUUCAUGGUGUAGCGGUGAAAUGCUUAGAUAUCAUGACGAACUCCGAUUGCGCAGGCAGCUUACUGUAGCAUAACUGACGCUGAUGCUCGAAAGUGCGGGUAUCAAACAGG